Molecule: RNA transcript, 3601 nt
Organism: Oncorhynchus keta (chum salmon)
Lineage: Eukaryota; Metazoa; Chordata; Actinopteri; Salmoniformes; Salmonidae
Gene name: protocadherin alpha-C2-like
Exons: 3
Source: RefSeq, a predicted model, not a curated record
GAUUGUUUCUCACGUAAGCAAUAGCUCGUAGAUGUAAAGUUAUUCGUCUUUAACGGAUUGCUUCAAGUAUUGACCUAAUUUAACAUAUUUCUUUGCAAUAAUGGCGCUUUCCAUUGCAACUGAAUGGACAAGGUGCGUCACCGUUCUCUUUGUAUUCAGCGCGAUGUGGGGAAUUGCUUUGUCCAUUAAUCGCUACUCUAUUCCCGAGGAAAUGCAAGAGGGUUCCGUUGUUGCAAACCUGGCUACAGAUUUGGGACUUGACCUUCGCACUCUGAUAACACGCAAGGCAAAGCUUGACAUCAUCCACAGAAACAAAUAUUUGGACAUUAACAAAGAAACGGGAGACCUGUUCAUACUUGAAAAGAUAGAUAGGGAAUAUAUAUGCUCGAGCAAGACAACGUCUUGUUUUCUGAAAAUGGAUGUCAUAUUUGAAAAUCCCAUUCGAAUUUUUAACAUUGAGCUUGAAAUUAUGGACAUAAAUGACAAUGCACCGGUCUUUCGAAGGGAGACCAUGCACUUGGAUAUUUCAGAAUCUACCGCUGCAGGAGAGAGAUUCUCUUUGACAAAUGCUGUGGAUGCAGAUGUCGGUGCGAAUUCUAUUAAGACUUACUAUUUAAGCGAAAGCAAGUCUUUUAUAAUUGACAUACAGACGGGAAGCGAUGGAUCUAAAUACGUAGAUUUGGUUCUCAACAGUAAUUUAGACAGAGAGGAACAGGCGGUUCAUAAUUUAAUACUAACCGCUGUAGAUGGCGGGGUCCCUGCACGCUCAGGCACAGCCAGUAUCAUCGUUAGGGUUCUGGAUAUCAAUGACAACGCCCCUUUUUUUAACCAGCCGAUAUAUGCUAUUAAUGUAACUGAGAACUCCCCAAUUGGAACUCUAGUAAUGACCUUGAACGCAACAGACUUGGACGAGGGCACUAACGCAGAGAUGAUAUAUUCAUACACGUUAUAUACAUCCGAGAAGACACAAGAAAAGUUCUCUCUAAAUUCGAAUACAGGGGAAAUAAAGGUUAAGGAUGUGAUUGAUUUUGAGGAGAGCCACAGUUUCGAUAUAUAUAUUCAAGCCAGAGACCAAGGAUCUAAUUCGUUAUCCGGAGAUUGUAAAAUAAUGAUAUUUAUUACCGAUCUGAAUGACAACUAUCCCGAGGUUACCAUUAAAUCUUUUAAAAGUACGCUCAAGGAAGAUGUUGCCAUAGGAACAUUAAUAGCAGUGAUCAGUAUAAGCGACAGGGACUCUGGGGACAACGGUGAAGUUGAGCUCACUUUGAACCAACAAACAUCCCUACCUUUCGUUCUUAAUAAGUCUUCGGAGGAUUAUUUUGCUCUGCAUGUUUCAGAACCACUGGACCGUGAGACAAUUCCAAGAUAUGAAAUCACUUUCAUAGUCACAGACAAAGGAACACCUCGCUUAUCUGACAAUGAGACAAUCACCUUGGAGAUACUGGAUGUCAACGAUAACUCGCCAAUAUUCCCCCAGUCGUUCUACACAAUCCAUGUUGUGGAGAACAACGUCCCCGGCGCACUGUUGACGUCACUCAGUGCUUUCGACCCGGACCUCCAUGAGAACCAGUAUCUGGUGUAUUUUAUCAUGGAGAAGGAGAUCAUUAACACAUCUAUGUCCAUGCUUUUCUCUAUUAAUCCAGAGAAUGGCAACCUUUACGCUCUGAAGACCUUUGACUUUGAGAGGGAGAGGGAGUUCCUUUUCCACAUAGAGGCCAGAGACUCUGGGGCACCUCCACUGAACAGCAAUGUGACAGUUCACAUCAUCAUUUUGGAUCAGAAUGACAACACCCCGCUCAUAGUGUCACCUUGGCGUGCGCAGGGCUCGGUUAUUGAAGAGGUGAUACCGAGGUCCACUGAUAAAGGAUUCCUAGUUGCCAAAGUAAUCGCCAUUGACGCAGACUCAUUACAGAAUUCACGGGUCACAUAUCAGCUUCUACAGAUCAGUGACUCUAGCCUCUUCAGUCUAGAUCAAUACAAUGGGGAGAUCCGUACCACAAGAAUGUUCAGCUAUAGGGACCCCCGUCAUCAGAGGCUGGUUGUUGUCGCCAAAGACAAUGGAGACCCUGCUCUUUCCGCUACAGUCACCAUCAAGAUAUCAACAGUAGAACACAUGGUGACACCAUUCUCAGAAACUACUGAGUUGCCUUUGGAAUAUGACUUGUUCACAGACUUAAAUCUGUAUUUGGUCAUUGGUUUGGGCUCAGUAUCCUUUCUGCUAUUGAUCACCAUAUUGGUGGUCAUCGUUCUGAAGUGUCAGAAACCGAAGCCCUUGAAGAUGCCUCCUGCUAUGAAUAUGAAUCUGAACAGUCUAAAUAGGAACAGUAUGAUCAGCAGAAACAGUAUCAUCAGCCAGAGGAGCUCUACCAUAGCCGAUUCCACCCUAAUCUCCAGUGAUGCCUACUGGUACAGCCUGUUUCUAGCAGAAACCAGGAAAGGCAAGGUGGUUGUCAGACAGCCUAUAGUACCGAAGGGAGCAGGCUACUUUGUGUCCAGUAUACCCAGAAGCACAGGGCCUACAGAGACCAGCGACUCAAGAGCAUCCACGCUACAGUACUCAAAAUGAAAGGAAGCCCAUUCUACAGCUGGAGGUAUGCUGGUUGCUGGUAACAUGAUGAUUCCAGGGCCAGCAGUGACCUGCCAUGAUGUCCUCAAUCUGGAUUAUUCGGCUGCAGAACGUUCAAAGAAGUUAAGAGUGACCAACACCCCUCCUUCAAUCACUGGGAUCCAACAGUUACCUCUGGGGGCAGCUCGUCGAACCCUCUGCCCAAACAUACCACACCAACCACCUCAGCAACUGUAGACUACCUUUAUCAUCUUCCAUCAAGCAUGAAUCUGCAUGGCUACAUCAACAGGUACUUGUAUUUAGAAAAUAUCAUAAAGAAGAAAGGAACAUCAAACACAAGGUCUUUCAAACAACAUUGGACUGAUGUCAUUAUGCAUCGCACCCUCACUGGGACUUUUGACUGUAAAUGUGGGACCAGGCACUCAAUAUCUUCCAAAAUCCUACCUUACCUCUCCAAGAAACACAAUUACACAAAAGGGAUAUUCUGUUUAGUCCUUGUGAGGGUUCCUCAUGAUUGUGAUGUCAAUGCAUUAUUGGGGUAUGUGUCAGAGGUCACAAUAUGGUCAAUGCCAUAACUCUGUUAGCUAGUGAAAUAACUAUCUUUGUUCAUCUGUGAAUGUGUAGUGUGCAUAGAUAACUUUUUUACAUUUUGUUUAGAAAUAAUACUAAAGUUUUUCAUAAUUUGGCUUUGUAGACCUUACUAAUUUUCUUGAACGUGUUGAAUUAUGUUUUUGACUCUGAACAUCAGCCUAUGUUAUGGGAUUAUUUAUCUCCUGAGACAUGGUAUGAGAUGUGCAUGUUGAGUUGGUAACAAGAUAGAUCAAGACCUCAUACCUGUCAUUCAAUGAGCCAGGUAGGAGAGAAGUACCCCAUCUUACUCCACUUCACAUUGCAGACAGAGAUAGCUAAUAUAUUCUCACGGUUGAAAUCUUCAUGAUCACAUUUGACACUGACGCUAUAUUUAGUAUAUUUUGAUGAGAAACAUUUCCUGCUCAGCAUGUGUAUAUAUAUAUAUAUGCCAUUUAGCAGACGCUU